CAAUAGCGUAUAUUUAAGUUGCUGCAGUUAAAAAGCUCGUAGUUGGAUUUCGGGUGGGAAUGGCCGGUCCACCGUUUCGGUGUGCACUUGCUACGCCCACCUUGCUGCCGGGGACGUGCUCUUGAGUUCACGCUCGGGACACGGAGUCGGCGAGGUUACUUUGAGUAAAUUAGAGUGUUCAAAGCAGGCCUACGCUCUGAAUACAUUAGCAUGGAAUAACACGAUAGGACUCUGGCCUAUCUUGUUGGUCUGUAGGACCGGAGUAAUGAUUAAGAGGGACAGUCGGGGGCAUUCGUAUUUCAUUGUCAGAGGUGAAAUUCUUGGAUUUAUGAAAGACGAACUACUGCGAAAGCAUUUGCCAAGGAUGUUUUCAUUAA
This 377-nucleotide ribosomal RNA is filed under the name uncultured eukaryote. RNAcentral describes it as "partial 18S ribosomal RNA". It matches the Rfam family "Eukaryotic small subunit ribosomal RNA", at positions 592 to 976 of the family's 1831-position model. The record is from RNAcentral.